This 1114-nucleotide long non-coding RNA is filed under the name Bos grunniens (domestic yak). Its description in RNAcentral is "lncRNA (ENSBGRG00000024340.1)". The record is from RNAcentral. Lineage: Eukaryota; Metazoa; Chordata; Mammalia; Artiodactyla; Bovidae.
UGGAACUGCUGUCCAGAGAUCAGCUGGCGGCUGCGGAGCAAACAGCCCGAGCUAAUUAGCAAAAGGUCACGCCCGCUCCUGGAGGCCCCGCUUUUGAAGUCAGGGCCUCACACAGACAGGCUGGAAGGGACUGAGGCUUUGAGUUAGUGGCUUGGUUACCGGAAUGGCUUCAAAACCCUGCCCACAGCUCAUCACUUGACCACCCAGCAGCCCACAGCUCUGAAUUCACCUUUUAGAAAUUCCCGGCGCCAGGGGUCCAUCCACCUACUCCGGGCCCAGGCUGGACAAACCACGGAGACCAGUCCCCAGUGUGGGUCCAGGGCUGGCCUCAACCCCCGCAUCCCCCCGGGCACCCAGCCCAGAGCCCAGGGGUGGACCAUCCAUGGACCUUCCGUAGCAGCCACCCACGUACCGCUCCCCCCCGGCCCCGCCCUCCCGCUGACUGCAUUCUUACUGUUUUUCCUCUUAAAUAAAUUUACUUCUUAAAAACUUAAAUAUAUUUAUUUAAACUCACGGGCUGAGGGUGGGCUGACCCAGUGGAGCCCGUUGGGCCGGACCAGUCGGUGGGCAGGACCCAGCCACGCCUCCUUGUCUCACAGGCCUCAGGGAGGGGAUGCCCGCGGGGCGAGGCUGAUCCCUAGAAGCACCUCCAGGCGCCAAACGAGCACAGUCCCUAGAUUCACACCCAGGUGGGAGGCGCGGUGCCCUGCCUGGCUGGAUACCAGCUGCCGGCACGCCCUUGGGUGCUGGGGCGAGGCUGCAUCCACCUCCAGGUACACAGGCCCAGGUACACAGGCCCAUGCACACACAGGUCCCAGCGUGUGUGUGCGUGCACACACACAGCCACCGCACACCUAGGUGUGCCAGGUGUGGGGGCGGCAAAGGCUGGGCAGCCCAUCACCCCACGCGCUGAGAUAAGGGUUCUUUAGGCCUGUAAUCCUCCUUAACUUGACUUUGGGUUAUUUUGAGCAAGAGAUUAAAAGUGAUUAUGACCAGGCUGCGCCUCCUAGCUGGGCUCCGCACACGCCUGGUGCUCCCAUCCACCUGCUGCCCAAUGGCUUGCAGCCCGGGGCACAGGCCCAGCUGCCUGCCCACUCUGGGCAGUAGAGCGACC